This 253-nucleotide ribosomal RNA is filed under the name uncultured bacterium. RNAcentral describes it as "partial 16S ribosomal RNA". It matches the Rfam family "Bacterial small subunit ribosomal RNA", at positions 524 to 776 of the family's 1533-position model. The record is from RNAcentral.
UACGUAGGAUGCAAGCGUUGUCCGGAGUUAUUGGGCGUAAAGCGCACGUAGGCGGUGCGGUAAGUGUGGUGUGAAAUCUGCGGGCUUAACUCGCAGCGGUCGCUGCAGACUGCCGUGCUUGAGGGCUGGAGAGGAAGAUGGAAUUCCCGGUGUAGUGGUGAAAUGCGUAGAUAUCGGGAGGAACACCAGUGGCGAAGGCGGUCUUCUGGCCAGUUUCUGACGCUGAGGUGCGAAAGCUAGGGGAGCGAACGGG